This 392-nucleotide ribosomal RNA is filed under the name Hyperopisus bebe. Its description in RNAcentral is "partial 12S ribosomal RNA". It matches the Rfam family "Bacterial small subunit ribosomal RNA", at positions 794 to 1384 of the family's 1533-position model. Lineage: Eukaryota; Metazoa; Chordata; Actinopteri; Osteoglossiformes; Mormyridae. The record is from RNAcentral.
GCCCAGUCAUAAACCUUGAUGAUAAACUACAAAUAUCAUCCGCCAGGGAACUACAAGCGCAUUGCUCGAAACCCAACGGACUUGGCGGUGCCCCACACCCACCUAGAGGAGCCUGUUCUAUAACUGACAAUCCCCGUUCAACCUCACCACUCCUUGCCCCUUCAGUCUAUAUACCACCGUCGUAAGCUCACCCUGUGAAGGAUUAACAGUAAGCAAGAUGGGCAAACCCCAAAACGUCAGGUCGAGGUGUAGCACAUGGAGUGGGAAGAAAUGGGCUACAUUUUCUGCCUACAGAACACUAACGGACAGCGUCAUGAAACCUAACGCUCAAAGGAGGAUUUAGCAGUAAAAAGAAAACAGAGAGUUCUUUUGAAGCCGGCCCUGGGGCGCGC